Molecule: ribosomal RNA, 254 nt
Filed under: uncultured bacterium
Lineage: Bacteria
Description: partial 16S ribosomal RNA
Rfam family: Bacterial small subunit ribosomal RNA
Source: RNAcentral
UACGUAGGGUGCGAGCGUUGUCCGGAAUUAUUGGGCGUAAAGAGCUCGUAGGCGGUGUGUCACGUCGGCCGUGAAAACCUGCAGCUUAACUGUGGGCGUGCGGUCGAUACGGGCAUCACUGGAGUUCGGCAGGGGAGACUGGAAUUCCUGGUGUAGCGGUGAAAUGCGCAGAUAUCAGGAGGAACACCGUUGGCGAAGGCGGGUCUCUGGGCCGAUACUGACGCUGAGGAGCGAAAGCGUGGGGAGCAAACAGG